Molecule: ribosomal RNA, 301 nt
Filed under: uncultured bacterium
Lineage: Bacteria
Description: partial 16S ribosomal RNA
Rfam family: Bacterial small subunit ribosomal RNA
Source: RNAcentral
CAGUCGCCGCGGGAAAACGAAGGGGGCUAGCGUUGUUCGGAUUUACUGGGCGUAAAGGGCGCGUAGGCGGGCGAUUAAGUCAGAGGUGAAAUCCCAAGGCUCAACCUUGGAACUGCCUUUGAUACUGGUUGUCUUGAGUCCGGGAGAGGUGAGUGGAACUGCGAGUGUAGAGGUGAAAUUCGUAGAUAUUCGCAAGAACACCAGUGGCGAAGGCGGCUCACUGGCCCGGAACUGACGCUGAGGCGCGAAAGCGUGGGGAGCAAACAGGAUUAGAUACCCCUGUAGUCCCUGUCUCUUAUCC